UAGGGAAUAUUAGUAAUGGGCGAAAGCCUGAACUGGCAACGCCGCGUGUGCGAAGAAGGCCUUCGGGUCGUAAAGCACUUUUUGAGAGGAUGAGGAAGGACGGUACUCUCAGAAUAAGUCUCGGCUAACUACGUGCCAGCAGCCGCGGUAACACGUAGGAGGCAAACGUUAUCCGGAUUUACUGAGCGUAAAGCGCGUGUAGGUGGUUUGGUAAGUAGGGCGUGAAAGCUCCUGGCUCAACUGGGAGAGGACGUUCUAAACUGCCAAGCUUGAGGAUGGUAGAGGGAGGUGGAAUUCCGGGUGUAGCGGUGGAAUGCGCAGAUAUCCGGAGGAACACCAGUGGCGAAGGCGGCCUCCUGGACCACUCCUGACACUCAGACGCGAAAGCUAGGGUAGCAAACGG
This 403-nucleotide ribosomal RNA is filed under the name uncultured bacterium. RNAcentral's name for it is "bacterial SSU rRNA". It matches the Rfam family "Bacterial small subunit ribosomal RNA", at positions 355 to 775 of the family's 1533-position model. The record is from RNAcentral.